CACGCACAGACCAGGGCACUUUCUUCCCUACGGGCUGGGGCAAAGCAGAUGAGCAGACACCGAUGGCCUACCAUGCGCCAGGCGCCUUCCCCAUGGUUCCUGCAGCCCCGCCAGCCCCAGGAGUGGGAACCGCUGCCCGACUUGGCAGGAGGGAGAGCACGACCCUGAAGGAAACGUCCAGAACCAGGUUGAGCCACCUCCCCGCCCCCCAGGGCAACAGACUGAUUCUGAAGGUGGAGCCACCCCUGGGUCCCGACACCUCAUCCUUGGCUUUGGGUGGGCAAAGGAGAUGAUGUUUCGGGUGCCUGAUGGGGACAGUGUGCCAGGCCAGCGCCAAAUCGCCAAAGAGGAAGGUUCCAGAGUUGGCUCUUGGACAGAGGUGGGGCCAGGAAUGAUCUGGGUUUGAGUACCCCUCCCUCAGGAGACCCUGGCACUGCCACCCUCUGGCAGGCUCCUUUCCUGUCUGUUUAGCUCUUGCAGGUCUUUGGAGACUCGUGGUGGGCUUGGGGGGAAGGGGCAUAUGUUCCCCUCCUUAUGAAACAGGACCCGAGCACCUACUAUGUGCACAGACUUUGGAAUAGACCCAUGAACUAGACAGACCAGGGCCCUGCCAUCCUGCGACCUCAGUCCAGCUGAGGAGAGGCACAGAGUGGACAUUAACGGCGAGCCCUCAUUCCAGCCCAUUCUCGGACCCCAGCCCUGCUCUGGGCAGGUGCCCCCAGGGCACUCCAUCACUUUCCCGAUGGAGCCGCCUUGGGAGGGAAGCACCGUUUGGCCCGAGCAGAAUCCCCGCCCGGGCCCUGAGCUGGGGGCCGUCCUCGCCAGAGGGAUGUCCCCUGGUCUGGCUCCCGCUUCUCGGAUGAGGACACCGAGACCACACCCUUUAAAUGCCUCUGUCUCUCCCUUCUAGAACCUUCCCAGAGAGCGACAACUCAGCCCAGAAUGGGCUAGUUUGAGCCGCUGGAAAUCUCAGCUGGGAUCCUGGCGUCUGGGGAAGGGCCGGGCUCUAAAAAUAAACCACUCGCCUGAGCCUGGGAGCAGCCGGCGGGCGCCUGGUGAGAGAAAGCUGACGCCUGGCGCUCCUGGCAGAUGACAGUGGGCCUGGCCCGGCCGGAUUGUCCUCGUCAGGCAGCUGGCCCUCAGCACAGGCUGGUGGCAGGUGGCAGCCAGGAAUAUUCGACCCCGGCUCCCGGAGGCACCCACCACCACCCGCGCCACGCACAGGACACAUAUGCCCCAACCUGGGACGUGCGCCACAGAGCAAGGCUGGAGCUGCCCCCCUGGAAGGGGCUGGGGGCAGACGCCGGGGACGCCUGGAGGGACGGUCCGUGUGCCGGAUAGCGACAAGCCUCAGCACAGCCUCUAGACAGGCUCGGCUGGAGCGGGGGGCUGUGGUACGUGGCUCCAGGCACGAGGCUGCAGGAAGGAGGGCGGGGCUGGCACCGGAGGGAGGCGCUCGUGUGGUCCGUGGACAGAUGCUGAGUGGCGCCUGGGCUCAGGCUGGACACAUCCUUCCUGCGAAAACGCAAGGAGCCUUUACGCCGGGCCUCCGUGCCCCCCCCUUCGCCCUGCUUGCUACCUGCUUGGUCCCUCAGAGUCACCUCCAGGAGCUGGUGCCCUUCGACUUUCUCCCACAAUCUCCCAGAGCCCUGCUCCGGGGCUGCUGCCUGCUCACCUGCCCAGUAAACCCAUCCCACCACCCCCUGCUUCUGUGCGACUUCCUAUUCUCCUGUGUUGCCUGCGUCACCAAGACCAGCAACUGGGUCUUGUCAGCAUCAGGCUGAAACCUCCACUCAGGCUUGCUCCUGAUGCUACUGCUCCCCGGCUGCGCGGGUCUUGGUGAAACACCUGGUCCCUAAGCCUCAGUCUUCCCACCAGGCAAAUGGGGGGAGGCUGCCUUGUUGUGGGGCCGUAGAGGUUGGCAGAGCUUCUGGGUGGGAAGCGAGACAUCUUGCACGGAGAGUAAAGGCUUCUAUACCAGGAUGGCCUCUUCUGCUUUAGACGCGUGCCCUGGGGGCCAGGAUUUGUCAG
This 2031-nucleotide long non-coding RNA is filed under the name Sus scrofa (pig). The record is from RNAcentral. Lineage: Eukaryota; Metazoa; Chordata; Mammalia; Artiodactyla; Suidae.